AGGAUGAACGCUGGCGGCGUGCCUAACACAUGCAAGUCGAACGUCCUGUCUCGCAAGAGGCAGGGAGUGGCGGACGGGUGAGUACCACGUGGGUCAUCUACCGUGAGGUGAGGAAUACCGGCGAGAAAUCGCCGACAAGACCGCAUAGGCUCGAUGCAAGUCGAGCAAAGCUCUUUCGAGAGAGGGAGCGCCACACGAGGAGCCUGCGCCCGAUUAGCUAGCUGGUGGAGUAACGGUUCACCAGGGCGACGAUCGGUAGCUGGUCUGAGAGGACGAUCAGCCACACUGGGAUUGAGAACGGCCCAGACUCCUACGGGGGCAGCAGUGAGGAAUUUUCGUCAAUGGGGGCAACCCUGAACGAGCAACGCCGCGUGCAGGAGAAGGUUUCGGAUCGUAAACUGCUUUUCUCGGGGAAGAGAACGGACGGUACCCGAGGAAUCGAGCCCCGGCUAACUACGUGCCAGCAGCCGC
This 471-nucleotide ribosomal RNA is filed under the name uncultured bacterium. RNAcentral's name for it is "SSU rRNA". It matches the Rfam family "Bacterial small subunit ribosomal RNA", at positions 26 to 518 of the family's 1533-position model. The record is from RNAcentral.